Long non-coding RNA from Carassius auratus (goldfish), 1859 nucleotides. RefSeq lists it as uncharacterized. NCBI's taxonomy places the organism in Eukaryota, Metazoa, Chordata, Actinopteri, Cypriniformes, Cyprinidae. The record is from RefSeq and is a predicted model, not a curated record. The transcript has 2 exons.
AAAACAAAGGGUUCACUAAAGAACAGGAAGUACACUGCAAGCUGCAUCAAAUGUACAAGGUUUUAGUUGCAAAGUCCCUCAUUUACACUUGUAAGAACUGUUGCCUCAUGACCCCAAGAUAUUGUGGCCCUUUGUUUUCCAAGUCAGCCUAGCCAUCAUUAAAUAUAUACAAUAACACAACUUAUCAACUUAUCAGAUCAAAAAACACUAAAUGAAGUUAUCAGAGGACAUUAGACAACACAAAUGAGGACUCUGUAUACUUUAUCAGGAGAGGGUAGAAGUACUGAAGCUUUUAUCAUUUCCUCCAAGGUCACCUCUCACUCCAAGAUGAAAGCUAGGAUAGAUUUUCUCCUGUUGAGGGAAGUGAUAAACCAGCAUAUUGAGGUCAGAGAUAAGAAUGUGUUUGGCUGUGACUAGGCAGUGUUUUUCCCCUCUAUCAGCUGUGCUUUUGCCAUGAAUGGAAGAUGAAAGCCAACCAAGAGAAAAACCAAUCUUUUAAGUCCAAGAGGCUAGCAGUGUCAUGUGGAAGCACUUAGCUUAUAGGCUCUUCUUAAUUAUCAUGUGUUCUGACAUAGGACUGCAGAAAAUGGAGGUAGGUGGUACUUCUUAAACUGCACUGCAAACCCAACUUGUGGGAAAACAUAUUUUGACAUUUUCUGAAGACAAUGCCAAUGCAAAACUCUAUGUCAAAAUGUGCAAAAAGGUGCUGAGUGGUUACUAGCAGGUGACUAAAGCAUUUUGGGUGGUUGCAAGAGGGUGUUCUGGAUAGGUAGCACAUUGCUAUGCUGCUAGAAGGGAAUUUUAGGUGGUUCCAAAGGUGCUGCUAAAGUUUGCUGUAUCAUCAAAAGAGCCUAAAGGGUGGAAUACAUUUUUGCCCGGAUUUGGAGUUCGGAUGCAUCAAUGUUAGCUGGCAAAUGUCAAAGUCAAUCUGCAGAUUUUGGUCAAUUUAGUCAAAUUUCGACAGAUUUCACCGAAAAUUUAAUUAUGGGCACAGCCUUUUUUAGCUUCAGACCAUGACUCCUUGAAGUCAGAGGACAUCAAAUAUGUUUGAUAUUUUGAGCUGAAUUUAGAACACACAUCGUUUUCAUUUGUCAUGCGUCUCCUAGCAACAAGGCACAUUUCUACAGUAUGUGAGUUUGUUGUGCUCAGGACGACUUGAAAGUACCUCUCACUUCUUUGAUGCCCAGUUGUUGUUGUUUUAGCCUUUUACAAAGUCAGCAAGGGUUUCAUACCUAGUGUUUUAGUGUUAUAAUCUGAUUCUUAGAUAUGGCCAUCCAUAUAUUCUUUAACCCGUUUGUCCAAUGUACGGUCUGGGGUAGAUACGGCCAGGCCAGGUGAAAAGUCUAAGUGAUGUAAUUUGAAAUAACAUUCAUGUUCAAAGCAAAAACAGAGCAGAGUUAGAUAAAAAUGUUUGUCUAGCCAGCACUACUAACUAAACAAUAGGUCAGUUCCAGACACUCAACAGUGUACAGACCUGCUUAUAAUAUUAACAUAAACUGCAUUUAUCUUUAAUUCCCAAGGACAAUGUUACAGCAGAGAGGACCCUUCUAUCAACACUCCUGAUGGUUUAAAGGGACAUUCUUCCCCCAUGGCCAGGGAUCCACCAACACUGGCAGUCUGCCUGUCUGCCAAAGCACAUGAUUAGCCUGGCUCUAAUGCUGUACAGUACUCCUCUGCCUACACAACACCCACACAAGACUCACUGUUACCAUGUCAUACAUGAAAGAAUGCAGCUCACCCUGCCAUCACUGUGUGAGGUGUUGUGAGUGGUACAGCUCAAGAUGGACGAUCGUUGUUGCUUGAAACACAACAUGCUUAAUGUAUGUUUUAAUAAAAGGUAAUAAAGGUGGAGCAUCCUG